This 231-nucleotide ribosomal RNA is filed under the name uncultured bacterium. RNAcentral's name for it is "partial 16S ribosomal RNA". It matches the Rfam family "Bacterial small subunit ribosomal RNA", at positions 99 to 334 of the family's 1533-position model. The record is from RNAcentral.
CGGACGGGUGAGUAAUGUCUGGGAAACUGCCCGAUGGAGGGGGAUAACUACUGGAAACGGUAGCUAAUACCGCAUAACGUCGCAAGACCAAAGAGGGGACCUUCGGGCCUCUUGCCAUCAGAUGAACCCAUAUGGGAUUAGCUAGUAGGUGAGGUAACGGCUUACCUAGGCGACGAUCCCUAGCUGGUCUGAGAGGAUGAUCAGCCACACUGGGACUGAGACACGGCCCAG